Molecule: ribosomal RNA, 468 nt
Filed under: uncultured bacterium
Lineage: Bacteria
Description: partial 16S ribosomal RNA
Rfam family: Bacterial small subunit ribosomal RNA
Source: RNAcentral
GACGAACGCUGGCGGCGUGCUUAACACAUGCAAGUCGAACGGAAAGGCCCUGCUUUUGUGGGGUGCUCGAGUGGCGAACGGGUGAGUAACACGUGAGUAACCUGCCCUUGACUUUGGGAUAACUUCAGGAAACUGGGGCUAAUACCGGAUAGGAGCUCCUGCUGCAUGGUGGGGGUUGGAAAGUUUCGGCGGUUGGGGAUGGACUCGCGGCUUAUCAGCUUGUUGGUGGGGUAGUGGCUUACCAAGGCUUUGACGGGUAGCCGGCCUGAGAGGGUGACCGGCCACAUUGGGACUGAGAUACGGCCCAGACCCCUACGGGGGGCAGCAGUGGGGAAUAUUGCACAAUGGGCGGAAGCCUGAUGCAGCAACGCCGCGUGCGGGAUGACGGCCUUCGGGUUGUAAACCGCUUUCGCCUGUGACGAAGCGUGAGUGACGGUAAUGGGUAAAGAAGCACCGGCUAACUACGUG